Molecule: non-coding RNA, 75 nt
Organism: Mauremys mutica (yellowpond turtle)
Lineage: Eukaryota; Metazoa; Chordata; Testudines; Geoemydidae
Source: the annotation of a RefSeq genome assembly
GGCACCAUGGCUUAGCUGGCUAAAGCAUCUGUUUUGUAAACAGGAGAACCUGGGUUUCAACUCCCAGUGGUGCCA